UGUUGUCACCCUGUGUAGCAGUUGUUCUCGUGUCUUCAGCCUUACUCGCCGUGUCUCCCUGUUACCCUGCUCAUUUUUGGAUUCUGGUUUUCACCCUUUUGGAUUUCUGUUGGACAGCCUUUGUUUUUGGAAUCAGCCACUCUGUUAGCAGACACCACAGGAGGUGACAGCCAGUGUAAGACAUUACAGGGAAAAUGAAAGCUGUUUUAGGUGCUGCUAGUGGCUGAAAGGAGAAAAGUCCUCAUCACUACAUCAUCAUGACGAAGAACAAUCAACCAAGAUGUUGUAAUUUGCUAUACUAUUUCAAUAUAUUGUUAGCUAGUAGGUGUAUGCUUUUCAUUUUACUCACUGGCUGUUGUUCGGUUGUGUAGAUCUGCAUGCCUUAUUAUCAUUAACUGUCAUGUGUGAGGUAUGGUCUGAUUUAAUCUACAAUUUUCAGUUUAGAUUGUCACAGAGAUAGAGGCGUGUUUACUGUAUACACAAAUAACGUAGAAUAACUGUCAGUAGGAUAUAAGUCUAUGAAAGCACAGGCUUCAGAAUAUAUUUUGUUUAUCUAGUGAAGACAGUGCACAUUUAUCUACAGAGACGUUUUCUUCUUUAGUUAGAUUUACACAUUAUUUUGCACAUGUAAUGCCAGUUACUAUUCAGCGGGAAAAAGGUGAAAGAAGCACCUCAAGCACCUUGAGAGGGACAGAAAACAAUUGGAGAAGGUGAUCAAGAAAUCUAGCUCUGUCCUGGGCCGUCCUCUGGACUCAGUGAGGGAGGUGGGAGACAGAAGGGUCCUAGCUAAACUGACAGCUAUGCUGGACCAUGAGUCGCACCCCCUGCACUACACCCUGUCAGCCCUGGAGAGCAGUUUCAGGGACAGGCUGCUCCACCCCCGCUAUGUGAAGUAGAAAUACCACAGAUCUUUCCUUCCAGCGGCCGUCAGACUGAACAAUGAACACCGUUGACUCUGUGCAAUAUAUCCCAUGUGCCAUUAUUACAUCUGUGCAUAAUUUUGAUUUGUGCAAUUAUCAUAAGUGCAAUUUUACUAAUUCAUGUGCAAUUAUUGUAUAAUACAGU
This is a long non-coding RNA of Micropterus dolomieu (smallmouth bass), 1065 nucleotides long. RefSeq lists it as uncharacterized. NCBI's taxonomy places the organism in Eukaryota, Metazoa, Chordata, Actinopteri, Centrarchiformes, Centrarchidae. The record is from RefSeq and is a predicted model, not a curated record. The transcript is spliced from 3 exons.